GAGCUGCUGUAGCCCCUACGUGGUGAGUAGAUCGUCUCCACAGAAAUCAGCGGAGGCUUCCACAGUCCCUGGUUGGAAUGGAACCGGCGGUGAGGAUGAGAGGCGCUGAAGACCAGAAGACCCAGGGCGUGAACGGGGCGUGUCAUCCCUGGAGUUUCAGUAGAAUUUCAGGCCUGUCUGCUUGAGCAGCAGAGGAGGAGUUUCUGUGUGCCUGUGAGAGACUGUGUGUGUGUGUGUGUGUGUGUGUGUGUGUGAGAUGAAUGAACAGGGUUGUGUACGUGUGUGUGCGUUAGACAAAUGAACAGUGUUGUGUACCUGUGUGAAUUGUCACUGUGACUCCAGGCUCUAGGCUCUGCAGAUUCCUCAGCCCUAUCGCCUCACAGACACUUGGGAUGUGCAGCAGGUAAAAGAGAGAAGCCAGAUUCAUGGAGGCGUGAAGGAUCCCAGCAAGAAAACACAGACUUGAUCUUGAGACGAGAUUUUUGAAAUUGGUUGCGGCCUCAAGGCAGGCUCUGAGAAGACUCGAUAAAGAGUUCUCAGGAAUAGGCAUCCCUCCUGGAUAUUUCCCCCUUGGAAGCGCCGAGGAGCCAGCUCUAUGUUUGUAACCAUAGCAUUUCUAAAGCUCCAGCCCCAGGAACCUGCUGUGAAUUAGAGACAGAUUCCACCCUAGGCAUCACUGAUCUUGGCCUCUCUUGUAUUGGGAAGGUCAACACUGUUCCAGUUUCUCUCCUACUCCCAUCUGGUUGUGCUCGGUGAAGUAGGUGAGCAGUGCUACCCUUCUGUUAAAAAAAAAAAAAAAAAAAAGAUCCUGAAAGAGGAAAGAAUUUUUGCUACACAUCUGAAAGCUAAAGUCCAGUUGAACUCCAGAGGAGAACACAGCCCAGGUAACCCCUCGUUUGCAGCCUGUGAGACCAGCCUGAGGACAGCACCCAGCUAAACUCCAGGUCCAUGGAAACUGUGAGAUUUUAUAUAUUUAUGUUGUUUUAAGCUAAAUUCGUGGUAAUUGGUUAUGGUAGCAACUGAAAAUUAAUGCAGUAAGAAAGUCUAAGGAGAUCGGAAGAGACUAAAGAGAAAUAACAGCUAAAUGCAACGUAGAUUAAUGUGUGGGAUCCUGGAAAAGAAAAAGGACAUUAAUGGGAAAACAUAUUUGAAUAAGAUGUGCAAAUUUUUCGUAUUGUACCAAUGUUAAUUUCCUGGUUUUGAUAAUUAUCCUUUGGUUAUGUAAGAUAAACGCUAGAAUGAAGGGUAUAUGAGAACCCUCUGUACUACUCUUGCAACUUUUCUCUAAGUCUAAAAUAAGUGGAAAUUAAAAGUUAAAACAAAAAAAAAGGAAAAUUUUAUCUAUCCCAAGACCACAAAGUUAUUUUUCUGUUUCUUCCUCCAGAAUCUUUAUUGUUUGUUUUCACACUUAGACCUAUGAUCCAUCUUGAAUUUAUAUCUGUGUAUGUAGUGGGAUGAAGUUCAAAAUCAUUUUUUUCAUACAGAUAUCCAAGUGCACUGGCACCGUUUGUUAAAAACACUGGCCUUCUCUUAAGCUGCAGUCAGACUUUUACUGUAAAGCAUGGGCCCAUAUAUGUGCAGGAGUCUUUCUACUUUUCCGUUGGUCCUCUUUGUCAAUCUUUGUGCCAGCACCUCCAUUUUAAUUCCUGUAGCUUUAUAUUAUAUCUUGAUAAUCUGGUAAUAUAAGUUGAAGAACAACUUUGUUCUUCAAAAUCACUUUGUCUAUUCCAGGUUCUUUGCAUUGCUCUAUAAUUUUAGAAUGAGUUAAUUAAUUUUCUCAAAACAAACAAAACGCCCUGCUGACAUUUUGUUGGCAGUACAUUGAAUCAGUAGAUAAAUUUAGAGAGAAUUAUCUCAAAAUUGAGUCUUACAGUUCAUGAACAUGGAAUACAUUUCCAUUUAUUGAAUUCAUCUUUAAUUUCUUUCCUUAAGGUUUUGUUGUUUCCUGUCUAAAGGUCUUGCACAUCUGUUAAAUUUAUUCCUGUUUUACAUUUUUUAUGUUUUUACAAACUGUUAAGGUUUUAAAAAUUUUAUUUUUCAGUAGCUUUGCUUUAAUAUAAUUGUUUUAUACUUUUACCCUUUAUUCAGCAAUAAAUUAUUUAAUUUAAAGCUUGUGGAAUUAAAAAAUAUUUUUAUGUACAUAAUCAUGUAAUCUACACUAUCUGCAAAUAAAGAUCAUUUUACUUCCUUCC
This 2192-nucleotide long non-coding RNA is filed under the name Homo sapiens (human). Its description in RNAcentral is "non-protein coding lnc-ZNF404-1:2". Lineage: Eukaryota; Metazoa; Chordata; Mammalia; Primates; Hominidae. The record is from RNAcentral.